AGCUGAGCAUAGCUCCCUUUU
Molecule: small nuclear RNA, 21 nt
Filed under: Arabidopsis thaliana (thale cress)
Lineage: Eukaryota; Viridiplantae; Streptophyta; Magnoliopsida; Brassicales; Brassicaceae
Description: snRNA_07944
Source: RNAcentral